Molecule: small RNA, 28 nt
Filed under: Bombyx mori (domestic silkworm)
Lineage: Eukaryota; Metazoa; Arthropoda; Insecta; Lepidoptera; Bombycidae
Description: ovarian small RNA-35340
Source: RNAcentral
UGUAAGUGGAUCCAACCGUAAGUAGCGA